GUCGGGAUAGCUCAGCUGGUAGAGCAUGGA
This 30-nucleotide transfer RNA is filed under the name Cecropia pachystachya. Its description in RNAcentral is "partial tRNA-Phe". The record is from RNAcentral. Lineage: Eukaryota; Viridiplantae; Streptophyta; Magnoliopsida; Rosales; Urticaceae.